This 252-nucleotide ribosomal RNA is filed under the name uncultured bacterium. Its description in RNAcentral is "partial 16S ribosomal RNA". It matches the Rfam family "Bacterial small subunit ribosomal RNA", at positions 524 to 776 of the family's 1533-position model. The record is from RNAcentral.
UACGAAGGGGGCUAGCGUUGCUCGGAAUGACUGGGCGUAAAGGGCGCGUAGGCGGAUGGCACAGUCAGAUGUGAAAUUCCCGGGCUUAACCUGGGGCUGCAUUUGAUACGUGUGAUCUAGAGUGAGGAAGAGGGUCGUGGAAUUCCCAGUGUAGAGGUGAAAUUCGUAGAUAUUGGGAAGAACACCGGUGGCGAAGGCGGCGACCUGGUCCUUGACUGACGCUGAGGCGACGAAAGCGUGGGAGCAAACAGG